AGNCGAACGGUAACAGGUCUUCGGAUGCUGACGAGUGGCGAACGGGUGAGUAAUACAUCGGAACGUGCCCGAUCGUGGGGGAUAACGAGGCGAAAGCUUUGCUAAUACCGCAUACGAUCUACGGAUGAAAGCGGGGGAUCUUCGGACCUCGCGCGGACGGAGCGGCCGAUGGCAGAUUAGGUAGUUGGUGGGAUAAAAGCUUACCAAGCCGACGAUCUGUAGCUGGUCUGAGAGGAUGAUCAGCCACACUGGGACUGAGACACGGCCCAGACUCCUACGGGAGGCAGCAGUGGGGAAUUUUGGACAAUGGGCGAAAGCCUGAUCCAGCCAUGCCGCGUGCAGGAUGAAGGCCUUCGGGUUGUAAACUGCUUUUGUACGGAACGAAAAGCCUCUUUCUAAUAAAGAGGGGUCAUGACGGUACCGUAAGAAUAAGCACCGGCUAACUACGUGCCAGCAGCCGCGGUAAUACGUAGGGUGCAAGCGUUAA
RNAcentral lists this ribosomal RNA (487 nucleotides) under uncultured bacterium. Its description in RNAcentral is "bacterial SSU rRNA". It matches the Rfam family "Bacterial small subunit ribosomal RNA", at positions 60 to 543 of the family's 1533-position model. The record is from RNAcentral.